This 433-nucleotide ribosomal RNA is filed under the name uncultured bacterium. RNAcentral describes it as "partial 16S ribosomal RNA". It matches the Rfam family "Bacterial small subunit ribosomal RNA", at positions 29 to 507 of the family's 1533-position model. The record is from RNAcentral.
AACGAACGCUGGCGGCAUGCCUAACACAUGCAAGUCGAACGAGACCUUCGGGUCUAGUGGCGCACGGGUGCGUAACGCGUGGGAACCUGCCCUUAGGUUCGGAAUAACUCCCCGAAAGGGGUGCUAAUACCGGAUAAUGUCUUCGGACCAAAGAUUUAUCGCCUUUGGAUGGGCCCGCGUUGGAUUAGCUAGUUGGUAGGGUAAAAGCCUACCAAGGCGACGAUCCAUAGCUGGUCUGAGAGGAUGAUCAGCCACACUGGGACAGAGACACGGCGGAGACUCUUACGGGAGGAAGAAGUGGGGAAUAUGGAACAAUGGGCGAAGGCAUGAUCCAGCAAGGCCGCGUGAGUGAUGAAGACCUGAGGGUUGGAAAGCUCGUUUAAACGGGAAGAUAAUGACAGUACCGGGAGAAUAAGCGACGGCUAACUCCGUG